This 283-nucleotide ribosomal RNA is filed under the name uncultured bacterium. RNAcentral's name for it is "partial 16S ribosomal RNA". It matches the Rfam family "Bacterial small subunit ribosomal RNA", at positions 335 to 611 of the family's 1533-position model. The record is from RNAcentral.
AGCCUACGGGACGCAGCAGUAGGGAAUCUUCCACAAUGGGCGAAAGCCUGAUGGAGCAACGCCGCGUGGGUGAAGAAGGUCUUCGGAUCGUAAAACCCUGUUGUUAGAGAAGAAAGUGCGUGAGAGUAACUGUUCACGUUUCGACGGUAUCUAACCAGAAAGCCACGGCUAACUACGUGCCAGCAGCCGCGGUAAUACGUAGGUGGCAAGCGUUAUCCGGAUUUAUUGGGCGUAAUGCGAGUGCAGGCGGUUCAAUAAGUCUGAUGUGAAAGCCUUCGGCCCA